RNAcentral lists this long non-coding RNA (548 nucleotides) under Bos mutus (wild yak). RNAcentral's name for it is "lncRNA (ENSBMUG00000023171.1)". Lineage: Eukaryota; Metazoa; Chordata; Mammalia; Artiodactyla; Bovidae. The record is from RNAcentral.
CAGAAAGUUGAGUAUGAUUCUGGAAAUGUAUGAAAAAAUAGGCCUAGGUGGGGGUAAAUAAUUUUUCCUAUUACAUGCCAUAUUUUAAAAACUCUUUUCAAGUGCUGUUGUUUUCCCCUUUUUCUUCGUCAGUGUUCUGGACAUCUUGGAAAAGGUAUACGGGAAGCAACAGAAAUCCUUACAAUUGCAAAAUAAAACCUGAGGGGAUAGGAACCGAGAACUUUUCAAUGAAGAAGACAAGAAUUGUUGACAAUUCAUACUUUAGGUCUGUUAUUGGAGCCCACCAGCAUGCCAGGAGUAGCUGGGAGUAUUCAGUGGAGCCCCAUCUGAGACUGCCAGAACACAAAGCCUCUCUCUUCGUACAUUUCAAGGUGUGUCUCUGGAGAACUCAACCUAUAAUAUCUAUAAUACCACCCUUAACCCCCAACUCUGAAGAUGUGAGGAGGGUAUCCAUGCAGUGUGGAAUGGAGAAUAAGAGCUAAUCGGGGUGAAGAAACUAUAUAUGUGGAAGAGAGAACAACAGCAGAGUUGUGAGAUUUACUAUACAU